RNAcentral lists this ribosomal RNA (497 nucleotides) under uncultured bacterium. RNAcentral describes it as "partial 16S ribosomal RNA". It matches the Rfam family "Bacterial small subunit ribosomal RNA", at positions 28 to 507 of the family's 1533-position model. The record is from RNAcentral.
GAUGAACGCUGGCGGCGUGCCUAAUACAUGCAAGUCGAGCGAACGGACGGGAAGCUUGCUUCUCUGAUGUUAGCGGCGGACGGGUGAGUAACACGUGGAUAACCUACCUAUAAGACUGGGAUAACUUCGGGAAACCGGAGCUAAUACCGGAUAAUAUUUUGAACCGCAUGGUUCAAAAGUGAAAGACGGUCUUGCUGUCACUUAUAGAUGGAUCCGCGCUGCAUUAGCUAGUUGGUAAGGUAACGGCUUACCAAGGCAACGAUGCAUAGCCGACCUGAGAGGGUGAUCGGCCACACUGGAACUGAGACACGGUCCAGACUCCUACGGGAGGCAGCAGUAGGGAAUCUUCCGCAAUGGGCGAAAGCCUGACGGAGCAACGCCGCGUGAGUGAUAAAGGUCUUCGGAUCGUAAAACUCUGUUAUUAGGGAAGAACAUAUGUGUAAGUAACUGUGCACAUCUUGACGGUACCUAAUCAGAAAGCCACGGCUAACUACGUG